Molecule: non-coding RNA, 68 nt
Organism: Myotis lucifugus (little brown bat)
Lineage: Eukaryota; Metazoa; Chordata; Mammalia; Chiroptera; Vespertilionidae
Source: Rfam
GGCCAGGUAGCUCAGUUGGUUAGAGCAUUGUCCUGAUAUGCCAAGGUUUGGGGUUCAAUCUCUGGUCA